GUCCACGCGGUAAACGAUGGGUGCUAGGUGUGGGGGGUAUCGACCCCCUCCGUGCCGAAGCUAACGCAUUAAGCACCCCGCCUGGGGAGUACGGCCGCAAGGUUGAAACUCAAAGGAAUUGACGGGGGCCCGCACAAGCGGUGGAGCAUGUGGUUUAAUUCGACGCAACGCGAAGAACCUUACCUGGGCUUGACAUGCAGGGAGUAGGAACCCGAAAGGGGGACGACUCGUCAAAGCGAGAACCUGCACAGGUGGUGCAUGGCUGUCGU
This 269-nucleotide ribosomal RNA is filed under the name uncultured bacterium. RNAcentral's name for it is "partial 16S ribosomal RNA". It matches the Rfam family "Bacterial small subunit ribosomal RNA", at positions 793 to 1055 of the family's 1533-position model. The record is from RNAcentral.